UACGUAGGGAGCAAGCGUUGUCCGGAAUCAUUGGGCGUAAAGCGCGCGUAGGUGGCUUCGUAAGUCCGUUGUGAAAGUCAAAGGCUCAACCUUUGAAAGCCGAUGGAUACUGCGGAGCUAGAGUACGGAAGAGGCGAGUGGAAUUCCCAGUGUAGCGGUGAAAUGCGUAGAUAUGCGGAGGAACACCGAUGGCGAAGGCAAUCCCCUGGGCCUGUACUGACGCUCAUGCACGAAAGCGUGGGGAGCAAACAGG
RNAcentral lists this ribosomal RNA (253 nucleotides) under uncultured bacterium. RNAcentral describes it as "partial 16S ribosomal RNA". It matches the Rfam family "Bacterial small subunit ribosomal RNA", at positions 524 to 776 of the family's 1533-position model. The record is from RNAcentral.